Molecule: unclassified non-coding RNA, 216 nt
Filed under: Hevea brasiliensis (rubber tree)
Lineage: Eukaryota; Viridiplantae; Streptophyta; Magnoliopsida; Malpighiales; Euphorbiaceae
Source: RNAcentral
AGCAUGGAAACGCCUAUCACUGGCAUUUCCGAGUGUCGGAAACGUUUUCACCCUGGAAACGGUGGGACUCGGCCUUGAAACGUUUCGGGAUGUGUCUGGAAAAUCCAAAAAAUGGAAACGCUUUUCUCUAAAAAAAAAUGGAAAUUGCAGCGGGAGGAGAAGAGAACACAAACUCUCUUUUACUUUCUUGUGGUUUCAUUUCCCAUCAGCAAGCAA